CCAUGUUAUUAGAUUAGAUUUAGUUCAAAUAAAUUAAGUGAUUUUUCUUCAAUUACAAUGAUCAUAGAUGAAGAAAUGUAAUGGCGUUUGGAGGCGGGUUUGUGAAGAAGAAUCGAAAGCGCAGUAGCUAAAGCAGAUUUCGAACCGAAAAUGACUUUAACUACAGACCCAAUCGAAGCACAAAAACCGUACUAUGAUGCCAUUUCUCUGUAAAGGGCUGGAAUUGCAGGGCACCCUGCAGAAAACCUGCAGGUAUUUCAGAGCCACGAACAAAAAUGUUUCAAGCUCUCCCCAUUUGCAACAACCCCUUUUUCAUUUUGAAACAAAUUGAUUCAAAAUUCUUUUGAUUCAAAUUUGAAAUUACAAUAGAAAGGGAAAACUCACCGUGGUUGGGAAAUGCAUCCCAUGACAGCCGGCGCGGCGGCGGCUAGUGAUGGUUCAAAUGUUGUUAGGAGUGAGUAACAUUAGAGCCC
Molecule: long non-coding RNA, 473 nt
Filed under: Olea europaea subsp. europaea
Lineage: Eukaryota; Viridiplantae; Streptophyta; Magnoliopsida; Lamiales; Oleaceae
Source: RNAcentral